GAAGUCAAGUAAGUGGGUGGUGGA
RNAcentral lists this non-coding RNA (24 nucleotides) under Arabidopsis thaliana (thale cress). Lineage: Eukaryota; Viridiplantae; Streptophyta; Magnoliopsida; Brassicales; Brassicaceae. The record is from RNAcentral.